GUGGAUUAGAUACCCUGGUAGUCCUGGCCGUAAACGGUGCGCAUUUGCUGUAAGAGGAAUCGACCCCUUUUGUGGCGAAGCUAACGCGUUAAAUGCGCCGCCUGGGAAGUACGGUCGCAAGAUUAAAACUCAAAGAAAUUGACGGGGGCCUGCACAAGCGGUGGAGUAUGUGGCUUAAUUCGAUGCAACGCGAAGAACCUUACCUGGCCUUGACAUGCAAGUAGUAGAACCUUGAAAGAGGGACGAGGUAGCAAUACCAGCUUGCACAGGUGCUGCAUGGCCGUCGCCAGCU
Molecule: ribosomal RNA, 292 nt
Filed under: uncultured bacterium
Lineage: Bacteria
Description: partial 16S ribosomal RNA
Rfam family: Bacterial small subunit ribosomal RNA
Source: RNAcentral